UGGCGGCCUUGGAAACAGAGCUUAAG
This 26-nucleotide non-coding RNA is filed under the name Rattus norvegicus (Norway rat). Lineage: Eukaryota; Metazoa; Chordata; Mammalia; Rodentia; Muridae. The record is from RNAcentral.